GAGCCGUUAGCCUCAGUUCGUAGAGCAUCUGACUUUUAAUCAGAGGGUCGGCAGUUCGAGACUGCCACGGCUCA
This 74-nucleotide transfer RNA is filed under the name Lentilactobacillus kisonensis F0435. RNAcentral describes it as "Lactobacillus kisonensis F0435 tRNA-Lys". It matches the Rfam family "tRNA". From Rfam's summary of the family: Transfer RNA (tRNA) molecules are approximately 80 nucleotides in length. Their secondary structure includes four short double-helical elements and three loops (D, anti-codon, and T loops). The record is from RNAcentral. Lineage: Bacteria; Bacillati; Bacillota; Bacilli; Lactobacillales; Lactobacillaceae.